GACGAACGCUGGCGGCGUGCUUAACACAUGCAAGUCGAACGGAAAGGCCCUGCUUUUGUGGGGUGCUCGAGUGGCGAACGGGUGAGUAACACGUGAGUAACCUGCCCUUGACUUUGGGAUAACUUCAGGAAACUGGGGCUAAUACCGGAUAGGAGCUCCUGCUGCAUGGUGGGGGUUGGAAAGUUUCGGCGGUUGGGGAUGGACUCGCGGCUUAUCAGCUUGUUGGUGGGGUAGUGGCUUACCAAGGCUUUGACGGGUAGCCGGCCUGAGAGGGUGACCGGCCACAUUGGGACUGAGAUACGGCCCAGACUCCUACGGGAGGCAGCAGUGGGGAAUAUUGCACAAUGGUCGGAAGCCCGAUGCAGCAACGCCGCGUGCGGGAUGACGGCCUUCGGGUUGUAAACCGCUUUCGCCUGUGACGAAGCGUGAGUGACGGUAAUGGGUAAAGAAGCACCGGCUAACUACGUG
This 468-nucleotide ribosomal RNA is filed under the name uncultured bacterium. RNAcentral's name for it is "partial 16S ribosomal RNA". It matches the Rfam family "Bacterial small subunit ribosomal RNA", at positions 28 to 507 of the family's 1533-position model. The record is from RNAcentral.